This 76-nucleotide transfer RNA is filed under the name Algimonas arctica. Its description in RNAcentral is "tRNA-Lys". It matches the Rfam family "tRNA". From Rfam's summary of the family: Transfer RNA (tRNA) molecules are approximately 80 nucleotides in length. Their secondary structure includes four short double-helical elements and three loops (D, anti-codon, and T loops). The record is from RNAcentral. Lineage: Bacteria; Pseudomonadati; Pseudomonadota; Alphaproteobacteria; Maricaulales; Robiginitomaculaceae. RNAcentral also lists the same sequence under 1 other name.
GCGCCCAUAGCUCAGUUGGUAGAGCGCCUCACUUUUAAUGAGGAUGUCGACGGUUCGAGUCCGUCUGGGCGUACCA